Molecule: small RNA, 1724 nt
Filed under: Pongo abelii (Sumatran orangutan)
Lineage: Eukaryota; Metazoa; Chordata; Mammalia; Primates; Hominidae
Description: retained intron
Source: RNAcentral
UGUUCAUUUCUGUGUCGGGCACAGUGCUAAGUGCUGGGUGCUCACUGGUGAUGAGGCAGAUGAAGGUUACCAAACUUGUGGACAGGAGCCUCAUGUCAGAGACGUGGACCUCACUGUAGCCUGGUCAUGGCUUCCAGCUUUUCGAAUCUGAGGCUCCAAAGGAGGAAAUGACCAUUCAGGGAUCUUACUCCAGCUUGAUUACGGAAACUGAACCUUCAUAGGGUGCGCACUUACCAAGGACAGGAAGGUUUCUCUCUUUGAAGGGCUUUAAACUUAUAACAAAGAAAAUAAAAAUGACGACUUCGUCUAUCAGACGGCAGAUGAAAAACAUCGUGAACAAUUACUCAGAGGCAGAAAUCAAAGUCCGGGAAGCCACCUCUAAUGACCCAUGGGGCCCGUCCAGUUCUCUGAUGACCGAGAUUGCCGACCUGACCUACAACGUGGUGGCCUUCUCGGAGAUCAUGAGCAUGGUGUGGAAGCGGCUCAAUGACCAUGGCAAGAACUGGCGGCAUGUGUACAAGGCGCUGACCCUGCUGGACUACCUCAUCAAGACAGGCUCCGAACGUGUGGCCCAGCAGUGCCGGGAGAACAUCUUCGCCAUCCAGACCCUGAAGGACUUCCAGUACAUUGACCGAGAUGGCAAGGACCAGGGCAUCAAUGUGCGUGAGAAGUCAAAGCAACUGGUGGCCCUCCUCAAGGACGAGGAACGGCUGAAGGCUGAGAGGGCCCAGGCUCUCAAAACCAAAGAGCGCAUGGCCCAGGUUGCCACUGGCAUGGGCAGCAACCAGAUCACCUUUGGGCGAGGCUCCAGCCAGCCCAACCUCUCCACCAGCCACUCGGAGCAGGAGUAUGGCAAGGCUGGGGGCUCCCCGGCCUCCUACCAUGGCUCCACCUCCCCGCGAGUGUCCUCCGAGCUGGAGCAAGCCCGGCCCCAGACUAGUGGAGAAGAGGAGCUUCAGCUGCAGCUGGCACUUGCCAUGAGCAGAGAAGUGGCUGAGCAGGAAGAACGCCUCAGGCGGGGUGAUGACCUCAGAUUACAGAUGGCCCUGGAAGAAAGCCGAAGGGACACAGUUAAAAUUCCAAAAAAGAAAGAGCACGGCUCUCUCCCACAGCAGACUACGCUGUUGGAUUUAAUGGAUGCUCUUCCCAGCUCGGGCCCUGUGGCCCAGAAAGCGGAGCCCUGGGGCCCGUCAGCCUCCACUAACCAGACCAACCCCUGGGGCGGGCCAGCGGCUCCUGCGAGUACUUCAGACCCCUGGCCAUCAUUUGGUAAAGACCCCAUUACUGGUCUCCUGUGCUUGCCUGCUGGAUGGGUGAGGGGCAGGGCAGUGCUUCUUGCUGUCUCUCACCCACUUGGGUCUGGUCGAUUGUGGUGGGUGUCCAGGCUCCUCCACCCCUCAGCGGUGAUAUCCAACUGGCCCUUGCCCUCCUCCUUGAGGAUGGUGGCAUGGUGUUCCCUCUUUGUUUUGAGUGGUUUUCUGCUUUGGGAGAAGGAAAGUCGACUUCCCCUCAACCUCCCAUUUGCAUCAGAAAUGCCUUGUGCCUUCUCUGGGACAUGUUUCAACUCUCGCAGCCUCAGCAUUACACCCAGCGCCCCAGCUGAAGGAACCAAAAUACACAGCGUGGAACAUCCAAAUCAAGCUGCUGUAAUUAGCUGGAAAUUAUGAUGUGCUUACCAUCACGUCUGAUGAAAAGGGGAUACAUUUGCUAUAAUUCUGCUUGUU